RNAcentral lists this ribosomal RNA (1239 nucleotides) under Vibrio alginolyticus. RNAcentral describes it as "partial 16S ribosomal RNA". It matches the Rfam family "Bacterial small subunit ribosomal RNA", at positions 50 to 1330 of the family's 1533-position model. The record is from RNAcentral. Lineage: Bacteria; Pseudomonadati; Pseudomonadota; Gammaproteobacteria; Vibrionales; Vibrionaceae.
AACAGUGGCAAGGUCGAGGCGGAAACGAGUUAUCUGAACCUUCGGGGAACGAUAACGGCGUCGAGCGGCGGACGGGUGAGUAAUGCCUAGGAAAUUGCCCUGAUGUGGGGGAUAACCAUUGGAAACGAUGGCUAAUACCGCAGAUGCCUACGGGCCAAAGAGGGGGACCUUCGGGCCUCUCGCGUCAGGAUAUGCCUAGGUGGGAUUAGCUAGUUGGUGAGGUAAGGGCUCACCAAGGCGACGAUCCCUAGCUGGUCUGAGAGGAUGAUCAGCCACACUGGAACUGAGACACGGUCCAGACUCCUACGGGAGGCAGCAGUGGGGAAUAUUGCACAAUGGGCGCAAGCCUGAUGCAGCCAUGCCGCGUGUAUGAAGAAGGCCUUCGGGUUGUAAAGUACUUUCAGUCGUGAGGAAGGCGGCGUCGUUAAUAGCGGCGUUGUUUGACGUUAGCGACAGAAGAAGCACCGGCUAACUCCGUGCCAGCAGCCGCGGUAAUACGGAGGGUGCGAGCGUUAAUCGGAAUUACUGGGCGUAAAGCGCAUGCAGGUGGUUUGUUAAGUCAGAUGUGAAAGCCCGGGGCUCAACCUCGGAAUAGCAUUUGAAACUGGCAGACUAGAGUACUGUAGAGGGGGGUAGAAUUUCAGGUGUAGCGGUGAAAUGCGUAGAGAUCUGAAGGAAUACCGGUGGCGAAGGCGGCCCCCUGGACAGAUACUGACACUCAGAUGCGAAAGCGUGGGGAGCAAACAGGAUUAGAUACCCUGGUAGUCCACGCCGUAAACGAUGUCUACUUGGAGGUUGUGGCCUUGAGCCGUGGCUUUCGGAGCUAACGCGUUAAGUAGACCGCCUGGGGAGUACGGUCGCAAGAUUAAAACUCAAUGAAUUGACGGGGGCCCGCACAAGCGGUGGAGCAUGUGGUUUAAUUCGAUGCAACGCGAGAACCUUACCUACUCUUGACAUCCAGAGACUUUCAGAGAUGGAUUGGUGCCUUCGGGACUCUGAGACAGUGCUGCAUGCUGUCGUCAGCUCGUGUUGUGAAUGUUGGGGUAGUCCCGCACGAGCGCACCUAUCUGUUGCAGCGAGUAUGUCGGACUCAGAGACUGCGGUGAUAUCGAGAAAGUGACGACUCAGUCAUCAUGGCCCUACAGUAGGCUACCACUGCUCAUUGCCACAGAGGCGCCACUCGAUGAGCGAUCCAAAUGCUGAUUCCGGAAUGAAUGACUCGCACUCUAUGAGAUUCGA